Molecule: transfer RNA, 72 nt
Filed under: Chytriomyces hyalinus
Lineage: Eukaryota; Fungi; Chytridiomycota; Chytridiomycetes; Chytridiales; Chytriomycetaceae
Also listed under: 3 other names
Description: tRNA-Pro
Rfam family: tRNA
About the family: Transfer RNA (tRNA) molecules are approximately 80 nucleotides in length. Their secondary structure includes four short double-helical elements and three loops (D, anti-codon, and T loops).
Source: RNAcentral
GGCCCAAUGGUCUAGUAGUAUGAUUCUUCUUUAGGGUAGAAGAGGUCCCGGGUUCAAUUCCCGGUUGGGCCC